RNAcentral lists this ribosomal RNA (83 nucleotides) under uncultured bacterium. RNAcentral's name for it is "partial 16S ribosomal RNA". The record is from RNAcentral.
GAUAGAGCUUUACAUACCGAAAUACUUCUUCACUCACGCGGCGUCGCUGCAUCAGGGUUUCCCCCAUUGUGCAAUAUUCCCCA